GCUCUUUUAGUAUAAAUAGUACCACUGACUUCCAAUUAGUAAGUCUUGAUAAACUCAAGAUAGAGCA
RNAcentral lists this transfer RNA (67 nucleotides) under Cheracebus lugens (black titi). RNAcentral's name for it is "tRNA-Gly". Lineage: Eukaryota; Metazoa; Chordata; Mammalia; Primates; Pitheciidae. The record is from RNAcentral.